Opitutus sp. GAS368 is the source of this 183-nucleotide non-coding RNA. It matches the Rfam family "6S / SsrS RNA". Rfam says of the family: E. coli 6S RNA was the first non coding RNA to be sequenced, but its function was unknown until recently. It consists of 184 nucleotides that fold into an extended hairpin structure with a large single-stranded internal bulge. Lineage: Bacteria; Pseudomonadati; Verrucomicrobiota; Opitutia; Opitutales; Opitutaceae. The record is from Rfam.
GACACCCUGUAGUGUUCGAGGUGCUCCAUACAACGCUCUUUGCCUUUGCUAUAAUUUGGGAGCCGCUGACAGGCGGGCUGAUGCCAGGCCGUAAACCGGAAGGCAGAAGGUCCGUCGGGUGGUGCCCACCUUUAACUUAAAAAGGACAUGAGCCCCGGGGCGCACGGCACAUAUGGGGAGUCA